Malaya genurostris is the source of this 1152-nucleotide long non-coding RNA. RefSeq lists it as uncharacterized. Lineage: Eukaryota; Metazoa; Arthropoda; Insecta; Diptera; Culicidae. The transcript has 3 exons. The record is from RefSeq and is a predicted model, not a curated record.
AAGCCAUGGUUCACCUCCCGUCCGUGUUCCGCGUGCUCAUCAAAGACACUUCGGUCGGAGGGUGUCAGUUUUCACAAACUCAGUAUAAAAUCGGUGACCGGCCAGUCAGGAGAAGGAAUAUGAGACGCUUGGAGGCGAGUGUCUACAACCGAGGUUUGAAUUAAAUUUAAUAAGUCAAAACAUUAGCUAAUACGUUUAUCAGGGAUUGUUAGUCUCCGGUACGUGUUUACCGAAAAGAGUGUGUUGUACUGACAUUGACAAGUGACAACACAAACGUGAUGAUGUUGGUUGGUAGCUCAGGAGAAUAUCCGGCAAAAUUUUAUUUCCAUUGAAGCAUAAGGAAUCUUUCGUCAGGCCCAAAUUAAUAUUUAUUGUCAUUGGAGUAAAUAUAGAAUUAAUACUGUGAGAAAAAACGUAGUGGGACUUUUAAAUUAUAUUAUCACGCGGAAACAUUAUUCGUCGAAAAACAUCUGUGCCAAGUGUCACGUCAAAAUAUGCAUAAGUGUUUAGUAUACGUCUGUCUUUUUGAAGUAUUAAAAGUGCAAUCGACGAUUUUUACAAUGAGUGAAAUUAUACAUCAAUGAAGUUCCAUAAAAUUUUGUGUGCGGAAUCAAAUCUCUGGUGCUUAAAUAUUCAGACUAAUGCAAAAGGCUAUUUUGCUAUCGGUGAUAGUUGUAUGUCGCAAGCAAGUGUUUUUGAUUGGUACAAGUUGUUGAAAGAGGUUCGAGAACGCAUUGACGACCAACCACGUCCAGGACAGCCAUCAACAGUUUUCUUUGAUUAUCGAGGUGUAGUGCACUCCGAACUCCUUUCGAUCGGCCAAAUUGUCAACAAGGAAUACUAUUUGAGUGUUAUGCGUCAUUUGCGUGAAGCUAUUCGCAAAAAUAAACUAUGGGCCUAUAACUCUUGAUUUUCCACCACGAUAAUGGACCGUCGAAUACUGCAUUGAUUCUUCGUGAUUUUUUCGCCAAAAACUCAACCAACGCCUGAAUCAGCUCCGUGUGACUUCUGGCUGUUCAGCAAACUCAAACGACUGGUCCGGGGAAACCGUUUUGAUUCAAUUGAAGACAUCGAACGUGAAUCGCUAUGCAGCAUUGAAGGCUAUUGAAGGAUUCGAGGGUUGGAAAAAACGUUGGUACAAGUGUAUUGGGA